Molecule: long non-coding RNA, 509 nt
Organism: Pogoniulus pusillus (Red-fronted tinkerbird)
Lineage: Eukaryota; Metazoa; Chordata; Aves; Piciformes; Lybiidae
Exons: 2
Source: RefSeq, a predicted model, not a curated record
GUUGACUUUUCCCUGCAUGAAAGUCGAGCUCUAAGGUCCCUCUGUGAGCAAGCAGAAGCAGCAGGGAACAGGUAUCACAGGUCCAUCAGAGACCUUUCUCCAUCCUCUCUGACUCUGCUCUGCCACACAGCUGCAGGAAAAAGCCUAACAGAAGCGGGGAGGAUUGGAUCCAAGAGAAGAGUGCAUUGAAGAAUUGGUGAUUUGUCUGAACUUUGAACCAAGCUGCUUGCAAACAGCUGAAAGAGGUCAGAAGUGUCAACAUCAGUGCAUGAGAAAACCUGCUGGCUGAAGCCAGCACUUGGAAGGAACCUGCAGCUCUUUCCUCCCCACACCUCCUCCAGUUACAAACUUUUAGUCUUUGUUGUUUUUCUCAUCUAUGCAAACAGCUUUGUGAACUUUGAGGAUGGUCUUCUGUGCAUUACACUGCGUUUGCUGCUGAAAUGUUAAACAGCAGCUUGAGUAGUUUCUAAAGGUCAUGGUCACCAAAUAAAAGACACAUUGCAGGCACC